GACGAACGCUGGCGGCGUGCUUAACACAUGCAAGUCGAGCGAGGCCCUUCCUUCGGGAAGGUGCCCUAGCGGCGAACGGGUGAGUAACACGUGGGCAACCUGCCCCUAGCACUGGGAUAACUCCGGGAAACCGGGGCUAAUACCGGAUAUGACCUCGGAGGGCAUCCUCCUUGGUGUAAAGGAUUCUGGCUAGGGAUGGGCCCGCGGCCUAUCAGCUUGUUGGUGGGGUGAUGGCCUACCAAGGCGACGACGGGUAGCCGGCCUGAGAGGGCGACCGGCCACACUGGGACUGAGACACGGCCCAGACUCCUACGGGAGGCAGCAGUGGGGAAUAUUGCACAAUGGGCGCAAGCCUGAUGCAGCGACGCCGCGUGAGGGAUGACGGCCUGUGUAC
This 394-nucleotide ribosomal RNA is filed under the name uncultured bacterium. Its description in RNAcentral is "bacterial SSU rRNA". It matches the Rfam family "Bacterial small subunit ribosomal RNA", at positions 28 to 423 of the family's 1533-position model. The record is from RNAcentral.